Molecule: long non-coding RNA, 681 nt
Filed under: Homo sapiens (human)
Lineage: Eukaryota; Metazoa; Chordata; Mammalia; Primates; Hominidae
Description: HSALNT0405650
Source: RNAcentral
CCCGAGCCCCCUGCUGCCUCCCAGAGCGAGGCUCUCCUCAUCGUGGACUCACCGCCCUCUGUGUGCCUCGUCCAUCACAUACAUCCUAAGUGUCCCUCCCAGCCUGUGAGCUUCUAGAAGGCAUUGCAACCCGGCACAGGAGCUGACACUUACAAAUAUUCAGGAACAAGCCAGGUCUUCCUCUGUCACCCAGGCUGCAGUGCAGUGGCGCAAUCAUGGCUCACCGCAGCCUCCACCUCCUGGGAUCAAGGGAUCCUCCCACCUCAGCACCCCGAGUAGCUGGGACCACAGGCGGACGCCACAGCAUCUGGCUGUUUGUAUAUUUUGUAGACAGGGUUUCACCAUGUUGGCCAGGCUGGUCUCGAAUUCCUGGGCUCAAAUGAUCCACCUGCCUCAGCCUCCCAAAGUGCUAGGAUUACAGGAGUGACCCACCGUGCCCAGCACCCCCUUUACCUCUGAGCAAUCCAUCUCUCUCCUUGGGGGCACCCCAUGAUCUAGACACCACCCACCUUGUUCUGCCUUGGCCAAAAUACCACCUAACUGCCCCCACCUAUGCCAGGUGCCCCUCACCCACCCUCCUCCACCCUUCGCUGAGUCCCACUUGGCUGGUGCCCAGGACAGGGACAGUCCCAGCCCUUCCAGCCCAUCUCCCCACAUCAGUACACUCCGGAGAGCCAGCCA